RNAcentral lists this ribosomal RNA (654 nucleotides) under uncultured bacterium. Its description in RNAcentral is "bacterial SSU rRNA". It matches the Rfam family "Bacterial small subunit ribosomal RNA", at positions 824 to 1500 of the family's 1533-position model. The record is from RNAcentral.
UAGGGAGUAUCGACCCUCUCUAGUGCCACAGCNAACGCGNUAGGUCAUCCGCCUGGGGAGUACGGCCGCAAGGCUAAAACUCAAAGGAAUUGACGGGGACCUGCACAAGCGGUGGNGCAUGCGGUUUAAUUCGAUAAUAAGCGAGGAACCUUACCAAGUCUUGACAUGUACCUGCAUACACCAGAGAUGGUGUAGCCUUCGAGGGUGGUACACAGGUGCUGCACGGUUGUCGUCAGCUCGUGCCCGUGAGGUGUUCACUUAAGUGUGAAAACGAGCGCAACCCCUAUCUUAAGUUACAAGUGUCUUAAGAAACUGCCGGCGUCUAAGCCCGGAGGAAGGCGGGGAUGACGUCAAAUCAGCGUGGCUCUUACGACUUGGGCGACACGCGUGCUACAAUGGGAAGUUACAAAGGGACGCCAAGGGGUAACCCGGAGCAAAUCCUGCCAAACCUUCCCCCAGUUCGGAUUGAGGGCUGCAACUCGCCCUCAUGAAGUUGGAAUCGCUAGUAACCGUAGAUCAGCCUCGCUACGGUGAAUACGUUCUCAGGUUUUGUACACACCGCCCGUCAAGCCAUGGAAGCGGGAAGCGGAUGAAGCGCGAUUUAUCGUUCCAAUCCGAAGCUCGUAACUGGGGCUAAGUCGUAACCAAGGUACC